This 253-nucleotide ribosomal RNA is filed under the name uncultured prokaryote. RNAcentral's name for it is "partial 16S ribosomal RNA". It matches the Rfam family "Bacterial small subunit ribosomal RNA", at positions 524 to 776 of the family's 1533-position model. The record is from RNAcentral.
UACAGAGGUCCCAAGCGUUGUUCGGAUUCACUGGGCGUAAAGGGUGCGUAGGUGGGUUGGCAAGUUCGAUGUGAAAGCCCCGGGCUUAACCCGGGAAUGGCAUUGGAUACUGCUGAUCUGGAGGAUCGGAGGGGGGACUGGAAUUCUUGGUGUAGCAGUGAAAUGCGUAGAUAUCAAGAGGAACACCAGUGGCGAAGGCGAGUCCCUGGACGAUACCUGACACUGAGGCACGAAAGCCAAGGGAGCAAACAGG